This 1383-nucleotide long non-coding RNA is filed under the name Dicentrarchus labrax (European seabass). RNAcentral's name for it is "lncRNA (ENSDLAG00005033491.1)". The record is from RNAcentral. Lineage: Eukaryota; Metazoa; Chordata; Actinopteri; Moronidae.
AUGUGUGUGUGUGUGUGUGUGUGUGUACAGUGUGUGUGUGUGUGUAGUGUGUGUGUGUGUGUACAGUGUGUGUGUAGUUUGUGUGUGUACAGUGUGUGUGUGUGUGUGUACAGUAUGUGUGUGUGUGUGUGUACAGUGUGUAUACAGUGUGUGUACAGUGUGUGUGUGUGUGUGUACAGUGUGUGUGUGUGUACAGUGUGUGUACAUGUGUGUGUGUGUACAGUGUGUGUGUACAGUGUGUGUGUACAGUAUGUGUGUGUGUGUGUACAGUGUGUAUACAGUGUGUGUACAGUGUGUGUGUGUGUGUACAGUGUGUGUGUGUGUACAGUGUGUGUGUGUGUACAGUGUGUGUACAGUGUGUGUGUGUGUACAGUGUGUGUGUACAGUGUGUGUGUACAGUGUGUGUGUGUGUGUGUGUGUGUGUGUGUGUACAGUGUGUGUGUGUUUGUGUGUGUGUACAGUGUGUGUGUGUACAGUGUGUGUGUGUGUACAGUGUGUGUGUGUACAGUGUGUGUGUGUGUACAGUGUGUGUGUACAGUGUGUGUGUGUGUGUGUACAGUGUGUGUACAGUGUGUGUGUGUGUGUACAGUGUGUGUGUGUGUGUACAGUGUGUGUGUGUGUACAGUGUGUGUGUGUACAGUGUGUGUGUGUGUGUACAGUGUGUGUGUGUGUGUGUACAGUGUGUGUGUGUGUACAGUGUGUGUGUGUGUGUGUACAGUGUGUGUGUGUGUGUACAGGGUGUGUGUGUGUGUACAGUGUGUGUGUGUACAGUGUGUGUGUGUACAGUGUGUGUGUGUGUGUACAGGGUGUGUGUGUGUGUGUACAGUGUAUGUGUGUACAGUGUGUGUGUGUGUGUGUACAGUGUGUGUGUGUGUGUACAGGGUGUGUGUGUGUGUGUGUGUACAGUGUAUGUGUGUACAGUGUGUGUGUGUGUGUGUACAGUGUGUGUGUGUGUGUGUACAGUGUGUGUACAGUGUGUGUGUGUGUGUACAGUGUGUGUGUGUGUGUACAGUGUGUGUGUGUGUACAGUGUGUGUGUGUGUACAGGGUGUGUGUGUGUGUACAGUGUGUGUGUGUACAGUGUGUGUGUGUACAGUGUGUGUGUGUGUGUACAGGGUGUGUGUGUGUGUGUACAGUGUAUGUGUGUACAGUGUGUGUGUGUGUGUGUACAGUGUGUGUGUGUGUGUACAGUGUGUGUACAGUGUGUGUGUGUGUGUACAGUGUGUGUACAGUGUGUGUGUGUGUGUACAGGGUGUGUGUGUGUGUGUGUGUACAGUGUAUGUGUGUACAGUGUGUGUGUGUGUACAGUGUGUGUGUGUACAGUGUGUGUGUGUGUGUACAGUGUGUGUGUGUGUGUGAUAUUAUUAUUAUUAAAUUGUAUUAA